UACGUAGGCAGCAAGCGUUGUUCGGAAUUACUGGGCGUAAAGAGUGUGUAGGCAGUGUUCUAAGUCUGUUGUGAAAUCUCCCGGCUUAACUGGGAGGGUGCGGCGGAAACUGGAAUGCUAGAGUGCGGGAGAGGAGAAUGGGAUUCCUGGUGUAGCGGUGAAAUGCGCAGAUAUCAGGAAGAACACCCGUGGCGAAGGCGGUUCUCUGGAACGCAACUGACGCUGAGACGCGAAAGCGUGGGGAGCAAACAGG
RNAcentral lists this ribosomal RNA (253 nucleotides) under uncultured bacterium. RNAcentral describes it as "partial 16S ribosomal RNA". It matches the Rfam family "Bacterial small subunit ribosomal RNA", at positions 524 to 776 of the family's 1533-position model. The record is from RNAcentral.